This 549-nucleotide ribosomal RNA is filed under the name Paratrechina longicornis. RNAcentral's name for it is "partial 16S ribosomal RNA". The stretch from base 410 to 549 matches the Rfam family "Archaeal large subunit ribosomal RNA", at positions 2542 to 2682 of the family's 2987-position model. The record is from RNAcentral. Lineage: Eukaryota; Metazoa; Arthropoda; Insecta; Hymenoptera; Formicidae.
CAUGGUUUUUUGAUAAUAUUUUAAGAUUAGUUCUGCUCAAUGAUUAUAAGAAAUUAAAUAGCCGCAGUAUUUUGACUGUGCUAAGGUAGCAUAAUCAAUUGUUUUUUAAAUGAAAACUAGAAUAAAGGAAUAAAUGAAAUUAAAGCUGUUUCAAGUUUAAAAUUAUAAUUUAUAUUUUGAGUUAAAAUUCUUAAAUGAGUUUAUGGGACGAGAAGACCCUAUUGAAUUUGAUAAAAAUUUUUUAAAGAUUAAUUUUAGUAUGAUUUAGUUAAUUUAAAAAUUUUAUUUUAUUGGGAGGAUAGUUAAAUUUGAAAAACUUUAAUGAAAAUUAUAAUAACAUUAAUUUAUGAUUUAAUAGAAUAAUUUUAUUAAUGUAAUUAAAAUUAUUAUGAGAAUUAAUUACCUUAGGGAUAACAGCGUAAUAUUUUUAUAAAGUUCUUAUUGAUAAAAAUGUUUGCGACCUCGAUGUUGAAUUAAAAUAAAAAUUAAAUGAAAAAGUUUAAUAUUUUAGUCUGUUCGACUAUUAAAAUUUUACGUGAUCUGAGUUCA